GGGGGUAUGGUGUAAUGGAUAGCAUCUGGGAUUUCGAAUCCUAGGAUCUCGGUUCGACUCCGGGUACCCCCGCCA
Molecule: transfer RNA, 75 nt
Filed under: Methanobacteriota archaeon
Lineage: Archaea; Methanobacteriati; Methanobacteriota
Also listed under: 2 other names
Description: Euryarchaeota archaeon tRNA-Arg
Rfam family: tRNA
About the family: Transfer RNA (tRNA) molecules are approximately 80 nucleotides in length. Their secondary structure includes four short double-helical elements and three loops (D, anti-codon, and T loops).
Source: RNAcentral